UAGUGGCGAACGGGUGAGUAACACGUGGGCAAUCUGCCCUUCACUCUGGGACAAGCCCUGGAAACGGGGUCUAAUACCGGAUAACACCUGCCCGGGCAUCUGGGUGGGUUAAAAGCUCCGGCGGUGAAGGAUGAGCCCGCGGCCUAUCAGCUUGUUGGUGAGGUAGUGGCUCACCAAGGCGACGACGGGUAGCCGGCCUGAGAGGGCGACCGGCCACACUGGGACUGAGACACGGCCCAGACUCCUACGGGAGGCAGCAGUGGGGAAUAUUGCACAAUGGGCGAAAGCCUGAUGCAGCGACGCCGCGUGAGGGAUGACGGCCUUCGGGUUGUAAACCUCUUUCAGCAGGGAAGAAGCGAAAGUGACGGUACCUGCAGAAGAAGCGCCGGCUAACUACGUGCCAGCAGCCGCGGUAAUACGUAGGGCGCAAGCGUUGUCCGGANUUAUUGGGCGUAAAGAGCUCGUAGGCGGCUUGUCACGUCGGGUGUGAAAGCCCGGGGCUUAACCCCGGGUCUGCAUUCGAUACGGGCUAGCUAGAGUGUGGUAGGGGAGAUCGGAAUUCCU
RNAcentral lists this ribosomal RNA (564 nucleotides) under Streptomyces sp. 334E01. RNAcentral describes it as "bacterial SSU rRNA". It matches the Rfam family "Bacterial small subunit ribosomal RNA", at positions 93 to 671 of the family's 1533-position model. Lineage: Bacteria; Bacillati; Actinomycetota; Actinomycetes; Kitasatosporales; Streptomycetaceae. The record is from RNAcentral.